GGAGAAAGUCAUAACGGUUAUGUGGUUGGCUUGAAACCAAUUGUAGGAGGUUCAAUUCCUUCCUUUCUUA
RNAcentral lists this transfer RNA (70 nucleotides) under Mirza coquereli (Coquerel's mouse lemur). RNAcentral describes it as "tRNA-Ser". It matches the Rfam family "tRNA". Rfam says of the family: Transfer RNA (tRNA) molecules are approximately 80 nucleotides in length. Their secondary structure includes four short double-helical elements and three loops (D, anti-codon, and T loops). Further hydrogen bonds mediate the characteristic L-shaped molecular structure. tRNAs have two regions of fundamental functional importance: the anti-codon, which is responsible for specific mRNA codon recognition, and the 3' end, to which the tRNAs corresponding amino acid is attached (by aminoacyl-tRNA synthetases). tRNAs cope with the degeneracy of the genetic code in two manners: having more than one tRNA (with a specific anti-codon) for a particular amino acid; and 'wobble' base-pairing, i.e. permitting non-standard base-pairing at the 3rd anti-codon position. The record is from RNAcentral. Lineage: Eukaryota; Metazoa; Chordata; Mammalia; Primates; Cheirogaleidae.